GACGAACGCUGGCGGCGUGCCUCAUACAUGCAAGUCGAGCGGACUGACUUCGGUCAGUCAGCGGCGGACGGGUGAGUAACACGUGGGUAACCUGCCCAUAAGAGGGGGAUAACAUCCGGAAACGGGUGCUAAUACCGCAUAGGUUUCUUGGUCGCAUGAUCGAGAAAGGAAAGACGGCCUUUGCGCUGUCGCUUAUGGAUGGACCCGCGGCGUAUUAGUUAGUUGGUGAGGUAAUGGCUCACCAAGACGAUGAUACGUAGCUGACCUGA
RNAcentral lists this ribosomal RNA (269 nucleotides) under uncultured bacterium. RNAcentral's name for it is "partial 16S ribosomal RNA". It matches the Rfam family "Bacterial small subunit ribosomal RNA", at positions 28 to 295 of the family's 1533-position model. The record is from RNAcentral.